This 495-nucleotide ribosomal RNA is filed under the name uncultured bacterium. Its description in RNAcentral is "partial 16S ribosomal RNA". It matches the Rfam family "Bacterial small subunit ribosomal RNA", at positions 28 to 507 of the family's 1533-position model. The record is from RNAcentral.
GACGAACGCUGGCGGCGGGCCUAAUACAUGCAAGUAGAACGCGGAAGGAGGAGCUUGCUUCUCUGGAUGAGUUGCGAACGGGUGAGUAACGCGUAGGUAACCUGCCUGGUAGCGGGGGAGAACUAUUGGAAACGAUAGCUAAUACCGCAUAAGAGUAGAUGUUGCAUGAUAUUUGCUUAAAAGUUGCAAUUGCAUCACUACCAGAUGGACCUGCGGUGUAUUAGCGAGUUGGUGGGGUAACGGCGACCCAAGGCAACGAUACAUAGCCGGCCUGAGAGGGUGAGUGGCCAGACUGGGGCUGUGACACGGGCCAGAAUCCUAAGGGAGGAAGCAGUAGGGAAGCUUCGGCAAGGGACGGAAGUCUGACCGAGCAGCGGCGCCUGAGUGCAGAAGGUUUUCGGAUCGUUAAGCUCUGUUGUAAGAGAAGAAAGAGUGUGAGAGUGGAAAGUUCACUCUGUGACGGUAUCUUACGAGAAAGAGACGGCUAACUACGUG